AGAGUUUGAUCGUGGCUCAGGAUGAACGCUGGCGGCGUGCUUAACACAUGCAAGUCGAACGAUGAACCAGGUGCUUGCACUUGGGGAUUAGUGGCGAACGGGUGAGUAACACGUGAGUAACCUGCCCCUGACUCUGGGAUAAGCCCGGGAAACUGGGUCUAAUACCGGAUAUGACUGUCCACCGCAUGGUGGGUGGUUGAAAGAUUUAUCGGUGAGGGAUGGACUCGCGGCCUAUCAGCUUGUUGGUGAGGUAAUGGCUCACCAAGGCGACGACGGGUAGCCGGCCUGAGAGGGUGACCGGCCACACUGGGACUGAGACACGGCCCAGACUCCUACGGGAGGCAGCAGUGGGGAAUAUUGCACAAUGGGCGAAAGCCUGAUGCAGCGACGCCGCGUGAGGGAUGACGGCCUUCGGGUUGUAAACCUCUUUCAGUAGGGAAGAAGCGAAAGUGACGGUACCUGCAGAAGAAGCGCCGGCUAACUACGUGCCAGCAGCCGCGGUAAUACGUAGGGCGCAAGCGUUAUCCGGAUUUAUUGGGCGUAAAGAGCUCGUAGGCGGUUUGUCGCGUCUGCCGUGAAAGUCCAAGGCUCAACCUUGGAUCUGCGGUGGGUACGGGCAGACUAGAGUGAUGUAGGGGAGACUGGAAUUCCUGGUGUAGCGGUGAAAUGCGCAGAUAUCAGGAGGAACACCGAUGGCGAAGGCAGGUCUCUGGGCAUUUACUGACGCUGAGGAGCGAAAGCAUGGGGAGCGAACAGGAUUAGAUACCCUGGUAGUCCAUGCCGUAAACGUUGGGCACUAGGUGUGGGGGACAUUCCACGUUUUCCGCGCCGUAGCUAACGCAUUAAGUGCCCCGCCUGGGGAGUACGGCCGCAAGGCUAAAACUCAAAGGAAUUGACGGGGGCCCGCACAAGCGGCGGAGCAUGCGGAUUAAUUCGAUGCAACGCGAAGAACCUUACCAAGGCUUGACAUGUGCCAGACCGCCUCAGAGAUGGGGUUUCCCUUCGGGGCUGGUUCACAGGUGGUGCAUGGUUGUCGUCAGCUCGUGUCGUGAGAUGUUGGGUUAAGUCCCGCAACGAGCGCAACCCUCGUUCCAUGUUGCCAGCACGUAAUGGUGGGGACUCAUGGGAGACUGCCGGGGUCAACUCGGAGGAAGGUGGGGAUGACGUCAAAUCAUCAUGCCCCUUAUGUCUUGGGCUUCACGCAUGCUACAAUGGCCGGUACAAUGGGUUGCGAUACUGUGAGGUGGAGCUAAUCCCUAAAAGCCGGUCUCAGUUCGGAUUGGGGUCUGCAACUCGACCCCAUGAAGUCGGAGUCGCUAGUAAUCGCAGAUCAGCAACGCUGCGGUGAAUACGUUCCCGGGCCUUGUACACACCGCCCGUCAAGUCACGAAAGUUGGUAACACCCGAAGCCGAUGGCCUAACCACCUUGUGUGGGGGGAGUCGUCGAAGGUGGGACUGGCGAUUGGGACUAAGUCGUAACAAGGUAACCGUA
This 1492-nucleotide ribosomal RNA is filed under the name Arthrobacter sp. A(2012). RNAcentral describes it as "bacterial SSU rRNA". It matches the Rfam family "Bacterial small subunit ribosomal RNA". The record is from RNAcentral. Lineage: Bacteria; Bacillati; Actinomycetota; Actinomycetes; Micrococcales; Micrococcaceae.